Sapajus apella (tufted capuchin) is the source of this 105-nucleotide long non-coding RNA. RefSeq lists it as uncharacterized. NCBI's taxonomy places the organism in Eukaryota, Metazoa, Chordata, Mammalia, Primates, Cebidae. The record is from RefSeq and is a predicted model, not a curated record. The transcript is spliced from 3 exons.
UAUAGUUCUCUUAGAACCUUGUGGUUUUCUUUGAAUUUUGUCAGAGUUCACCCCUUCCAUUAUUUUAUCAGAGUUCACCCCUUCCACUAUUUUAUCAGAAUUCAC